Molecule: ribosomal RNA, 547 nt
Filed under: uncultured bacterium
Lineage: Bacteria
Description: bacterial SSU rRNA
Rfam family: Bacterial small subunit ribosomal RNA
Source: RNAcentral
UGGGGAAUAUUGCGCAAUGGGGGGAACCCUGACGCAGCCAUGCCGCGUGAAUGAAGAAGGCCUUAGGGUUGUAAAGUUCUUUCGGUAUUGAGGAAGGUUGAUGUGUUAAUAGCACAUCAAAUUGACGUUAAAUACAGAAGAAGCACCGGCUAACUCCGUGCCAGCAGCCGCGGUAAUACGGAGGGUGCGAGCGUUAAUCGGAAUAACUGGGCGUAAAGGGCACGCAGGCGGUUAUUUAAGUGAGGUGUGAAAGCCCCGGGCUUAACCUGGGAAUUGCAUUUCAGACUGGGUAACUAGAGUACUUUAGGGGGGGGUAGAAUUCCACGUGUAGCGGUGAAAUGCGUAGAGAUGUGGAGGAAUACCGAAGGCGAAGGCAGCCCCUUGGGAAUGUACUGACGCUCAUGUGCGAAAGCGUGGGGAGCAAACAGGAUUAGAUACCCUGGUAGUCCACGCUGUAAACGCUGUCGAUUUGGGGGUUGGGGUUUAACUCUGGCGCCCGUAGCUAACGUGAUAAAUCGACCGCCUGGGGAGUACGGCCGCAAGGUUA